AGGAUCAUUAUCAUGUAAUAUCCAGUCAUGCUGCUGCGUGAGCUGUUUAAACCCACCCUGCGUACACCGUCCUGUUGCUUCCGCCGGGCGCAUACACGCGCCCGGCGGAAGGUAAGAAAUAAGCUCCGAGUUUUACUACUGAAUCGGUCUGAAUGAAUAGGAACAAUGAAACGUUAAAACUUUCAGCAACGGAUCUCUUGGUUCUCGCAUCGAUGAAGAACGCAGCGAAAUGCGAUAAGUAGUGUGAAUUGCAGAAUUUAGUGAAUCAUCGAAUCUUUGAACGCACAUUGCGCCUUCUGGUAUUCCGGGAGGCAUGCCUGUUCGAGAGUCAUUGACAACCGUUUCGAAAACCCCCCUUCCCCCAAGUUGUCGAGGGGUUGUUGGGGGGGAUCGUUGUUGGGGGUGGAGGAUCGAGUUGGCCGAGCUUGCCCCAGCUAUGCCUGGCAAAUCUCCUCCCCGCUGAAAUUUGGCGAUGGGCUUUAUCUUCGGUGGUGGGAUUGAAGGCGAUAUAAAUGCUCCCCGGCCCCCCGGGUAGAUUGUGCCAAUCCCCCUCAACUUCCAAGUUUCACGGGCCGUCCUGUGUUGAUUAACCCACAUCAUGAUGGAUGAAGGUUUCGUUUACGGCGAUGUGCGGAGGCCCUCCUCCAUCGUGGAGCCACCAUGUACCCGUGACGAUUGGGUUAGCCCGACCUGCUGUUUAUAGCUGUACUGCCCGCUUGUAGCAAUUCGGGGCCACAGGACACCAAGCCAGUGGAGUAGGAAGAACCGAUCGCCCGUGCUGUGCUAUUUUAAAUCAAUGG
Molecule: ribosomal RNA, 800 nt
Filed under: vouchered mycorrhizae (Genea)
Lineage: Eukaryota; Fungi; Ascomycota; Pezizomycetes; Pezizales; Pyronemataceae
Description: eukaryotic LSU rRNA
Rfam family: 5.8S ribosomal RNA (bases 178-331)
Source: RNAcentral